Eptesicus fuscus (big brown bat) is the source of this 577-nucleotide long non-coding RNA. RefSeq lists it as uncharacterized. The record is from RefSeq and is a predicted model, not a curated record. Lineage: Eukaryota; Metazoa; Chordata; Mammalia; Chiroptera; Vespertilionidae. The transcript is spliced from 3 exons.
CUGCAAGCUAACGUCGUCAGUUAGGAUGGGUGCUCCCGUUUCCUGAAAUUUAAUGAUAAAGGUUAAUUGGUCUUAAUUUUUUGACUGACUGGUGGCAUGGAGAAAUUACCAUAAGCUAACUUGGGUCAUAAGAACACCACCUACCAGCAGACUUAGAGCUUUGGAAGGACAUCUGAAAUCACUUCUAAUGUACAGACACUAGGAAGUCAAGUCAACCACCAAGGCAACUUACUGUAGGUAAAGAAUGAACAAUAGAAGAAAAAGAGUAUCUCCCUGAAUAUAAUGCUCAGUUAAAGAAUUUUCAUCAGAGGAACCAUUCCCUUUCUUAGGGAAUGAGCCACUUUCAGAAAGAAAUGGACUCUGCCCUAAAAGCCAUCCAUAGUCCUCCUAGAGGUCCACAGGCCCAGCCUAAGGUUCACUGCGCCAUGUUAUCUCAAAUAAAAACUUUAGUCCCAAACACGUGUUUACUACUAACUCUAACAUAACUCUGGAAGGGUAAAAGUGCAUAUAAGUUUAAUGAGGAAAAGUAACUGAUCUUGCCUGACAACUCAGAAAGCAAUAACUUAUGGUGAUUUGA